Molecule: ribosomal RNA, 253 nt
Filed under: uncultured bacterium
Lineage: Bacteria
Description: partial 16S ribosomal RNA
Rfam family: Bacterial small subunit ribosomal RNA
Source: RNAcentral
UACGAAGGUGGCAAGCGUUACUCGGAAUUACUAGGCGUAAAGGGCAGGUAGGUGGUUUGGUAAGUCUAUUGUGAAAGCUCCCGGCUUAACCGGGAGAGGUCAAUGGAUACUGCCGGACUUGAGUAUAGGAGAGGUUACUGGAAUUCCCGGUGUAGCGGUGAAAUGCGCAGAGAUCGGGAGGAACACCAAUGGCGAAAGCAGGUAACUGGACUAUUACUGACACUCAGCUGCGAAAGCUAGGGGAGCAAACAGG